Molecule: transfer RNA, 59 nt
Filed under: Zoroaster ophiactis
Lineage: Eukaryota; Metazoa; Echinodermata; Asteroidea; Forcipulatida; Zoroasteridae
Description: tRNA-Ile
Source: RNAcentral
AUGAAAAGGAGUCUAGCUGAUAAUUAGAUAUUAGAAGGUUAAAGUCCUUUCAAGUUUUG